UAAUGCCGGAUGCUCCAGUUGAUCGCAUGGUCUUCUGGGAAAGCUUUCGCGGUAUGGGAUGGGGUCGCGUCCUAUCAGCUUGACGGCGGGGUAACGGCCCACCGUGGCUUCGACGGGUAGCCGGCCUGAGAGGGCGACCGGCCACAUUGGGACUGAGAUACGGCCCAGACUCCUACGGGAGGCAGCAGUGGGGAAUAUUGCACAAUGGGCGCAAGCCUGAUGCAGCGACGCCGCGUGAGGGAUGGAGGCCUUCGGGUUGUAAACCUCUUUUAUCGGGGAGCAAGCGAGAGUGAGUUUACCCGUUGAAUAAGCACCGGCUAACUACGUGCCAGCAGCCGCGGUAAUACGUAGGGUGCAAGCGUUAUCCGGAAUUAUUGGGCGUAAAGGGCUCGUAGGCGGUUCGUCGCGUCCGGUGUGAAAGUCCAUCGCUUAACGGUGGAUCCGCGCCGGGUACGGGCGGGCUUGAGUGCGGUAGGGGAGACUGGAAUUCCCGGUGUAACGGUGGAAUGUGUAGAUAUCGAAGAGAAACAC
This 531-nucleotide ribosomal RNA is filed under the name Bifidobacterium longum subsp. suillum. RNAcentral describes it as "bacterial SSU rRNA". It matches the Rfam family "Bacterial small subunit ribosomal RNA", at positions 164 to 709 of the family's 1533-position model. The record is from RNAcentral. Lineage: Bacteria; Bacillati; Actinomycetota; Actinomycetes; Bifidobacteriales; Bifidobacteriaceae.